GCGAGUGUAGCUUAGUUGGUAGAGCACCACCUUGCCAAGGUGGAUGUCGAGGGUUCGAGUCCCUUCGCUCGCACCA
RNAcentral lists this transfer RNA (76 nucleotides) under Opitutales bacterium. RNAcentral describes it as "tRNA-Gly". It matches the Rfam family "tRNA". From Rfam's summary of the family: Transfer RNA (tRNA) molecules are approximately 80 nucleotides in length. The record is from RNAcentral. Lineage: Bacteria; Pseudomonadati; Verrucomicrobiota; Opitutia; Opitutales.